GACUAACUAUAUUAUAUGUGAUCAGAUUUAUUGUUUCAUUGUGAACGUACAUAUUUUAUCUGUAGCUAACUGUUACCAGAUUGUCUAUGAUCAAAUAGUCUAAUCUAUAACUGUAUGCAAUUAAGUUACUAACAUGUACUAUCUGUGACUAAUUGUGACCAAAUCAUCCAAUCACAAUAAACACAUACGUGAUCACAAUGGGUCACCACAAACAAAUUUAUACGCGACAAAGACC
Molecule: long non-coding RNA, 235 nt
Filed under: Olea europaea subsp. europaea
Lineage: Eukaryota; Viridiplantae; Streptophyta; Magnoliopsida; Lamiales; Oleaceae
Source: RNAcentral